RNAcentral lists this ribosomal RNA (553 nucleotides) under Meristogenys amoropalamus (mountain Borneo frog). Its description in RNAcentral is "partial 16S ribosomal RNA". It matches the Rfam family "Bacterial large subunit ribosomal RNA", at positions 1829 to 2597 of the family's 2925-position model. The record is from RNAcentral. Lineage: Eukaryota; Metazoa; Chordata; Amphibia; Anura; Ranidae.
CGCCUCUUGACAAAUUAUAAGAGGUCCAGCCUGCCCAGUGACAAAGUUCAACGGCCGCGGUACCCUAACCGUGCGAAGGUAGCAUAAUCACUUGUUCUUUAAAUAAGGACUAGUAUCAACGGCACCACGAGGGCCAUACUGUCUCCUUUCUCCAAUCAGUGAAACUGAUCUCCCCGUGAAGAAGCGGGGAUUAGCAUAUAAGACGAGAAGACCCCAUGGAGCUUUAAACUCAUCAUACACCUCUAUUUACCCACAACAUUAUAGCCUAAAAGAUUUGUAUGCUGGUUUUAGGUUGGGGGGACCGCGGAGUAAAAACUAACCUCCACGACAAAUGGGCUAUGCCCUUAUCUGAGAACUACAAUUCUAAUAAUCAAUAAACUGAUGUUUAAUGACCCGAACAAUCGAUCAACGAACCAAGUUACCCUGGGGAUAACAGCGCAAUCUACUCCAAGAGCCCCUAUCGACAAGUAGGUUUACGACCUCGAUGUUGGAUCAGGGUAUCCCAGUGGUGCAGCCACUACUAAAGGUUCGUUUGUUCAACGAUUAAAACCCU